This 492-nucleotide ribosomal RNA is filed under the name uncultured bacterium. RNAcentral's name for it is "partial 16S ribosomal RNA". It matches the Rfam family "Bacterial small subunit ribosomal RNA", at positions 29 to 507 of the family's 1533-position model. The record is from RNAcentral.
AGUGAACGCUGGCGGUAGGCCUAACACAUGCAAGUCGAACGGCAGCACAGUAAGAGCUUGCUCUUACGGGUGGCGAGUGGCGGACGGGUGAGGAAUACAUCGGAAUCUACUUUUUCGUGGGGGAUAACGUAGGGAAACUUACGCUAAUACCGCAUACGACCUACGGGUGAAGGCAGGGGAUCUUCGGACCUUGCGCGAUUGAAUGAGCCGAUGUCGGAUUAGCUAGUUGGCGGGGUAAAGGCCCACCAAGGCGACGAUCCGUAGCUGGUCUGAGAGGAUGAUCAGCCGCACGAGAACUGAGACACGGUCCAGACUCCUACGGGAGGCAGCAGUGGGGAAUAUUGGACAAUGGGCGCAAGCCUGAUCCAGCCAUACCGCGUGGGUGAAGAAGGCCUUCGGGUUGUAAAGCCCUUUUGUUGGGAAAGAAAAGCAGCAGGUUAAUACCCCGCUGUUCUGACGGUACCCAAAGAAUAAGCACCGGCUAACUUCGUG